UCGGGUUGUAAAGCACUUUUGUCCGGAAAGAAAUCCUCUGGGUUAAUACCUCGGGGGGAUGACGGUACCGGAAGAAUAAGCACCGGCCAACUACGUGCCAGCAGCGCGGUAAUCGUAGGGUGCGAGCGUUAAUCGGAAUUACUGGGCGUAAAGCGUGCGCAGGCGGUUCGCUAAGACCGAUGUGAAAUCCCCGGGCUUAACCUGGGAACUGCAUUGGUGACUGGCGAGCUAGAGUGUGGCAGAGGGGGGUAGAAUUCCACGUGUAGCAGUGAAAUGCGUAGAGAUGUGGAGGAAUACCGAUGGCGAAGGCAGCCCCCUGGGCUAACACUGACGCUCAUGCACGAAAGCGUGGGGAGCAAACAGGAUUAGAUACCCUGGUAGUCCACGCCCUAAACGAUGUCAACUAGUUGUUGGGGAUUCAUUUCCUUAGUAACGUAGCUAACGCGUGAAGUUGACCGCCUGGGGAGUACGGUCGCAAGAUUAAAACUCAAAGGAAUUGACGGGGACCCGCACAAGCGGUGGAUGAUGUGGAUUAAUUCGAUGCAACGCGAAAAACCUUACCUACCCUUGACAUGGACGGAAGGCCGCUG
RNAcentral lists this ribosomal RNA (590 nucleotides) under uncultured Burkholderia sp. RNAcentral describes it as "bacterial SSU rRNA". It matches the Rfam family "Bacterial small subunit ribosomal RNA", at positions 418 to 1003 of the family's 1533-position model. The record is from RNAcentral. Lineage: Bacteria; Pseudomonadati; Pseudomonadota; Betaproteobacteria; Burkholderiales; Burkholderiaceae.